AGAGUUUGAUCCUGGCUCAGAACGAACGCUGGCGGCAGGCUUAACACAUGCAAGUCGAACGCCCCGCAAGGGGAGUGGCAGACGGGUGAGUAACGCGUGGGAAUCUACCGUACCCUACGGAAUAACGCAUGGAAACGUGUGCUAAUACCGUAUACGCCCUUCGGGGGAAAGAUUUAUCGGGGUAUGAUGAGCCCGCGUUGGAUUAGCUAGUUGGUGGGGUAAAGGCCUACCAAGGCGACGAUCCAUAGCUGGUCUGAGAGGAUGAUCAGCCACAUUGGGACUGAGACACGGCCCAAACUCCUACGGGAGGCAGCAGUGGGGAAUAUUGGACAAUGGGCGCAAGCCUGAUCCAGCCAUGCCGCGUGAGUGAUGAAGGUCUUAGGAUUGUAAAGCUCUUUCACCGAUGAAGAUAAUGACGGUAGUCGGAGAAGAAGCCCCGGCUAACUUCGUGCCAGCAGCCGCGGUAAUACGAAGGGGGCUAGCGUUGUUCGGAAUUACUGGGCGUAAAGCGCACGUAGGCGGAUAUUUAAGUCAGGGGUGAAAUCCCGCAGCUCAACUGCGGAACUGCCUUUGAUACUGGGUAUCUCGAGUAUGGAAGAGGUGAGUGGAAUUCCGAGUGUAGAGGUGAAAUUCGUAGAUAUUCGGAGGAACACCAGUGGCGAAGGCGGCUCACUGGUCCAUUACUGACGCUGAGGUGCGAAAGCGUGGGGAGCAAACAGGAUUAGAUACCCUGGUAG
RNAcentral lists this ribosomal RNA (737 nucleotides) under uncultured bacterium. RNAcentral describes it as "bacterial SSU rRNA". It matches the Rfam family "Bacterial small subunit ribosomal RNA", at positions 8 to 793 of the family's 1533-position model. The record is from RNAcentral.